GACGAACGCUGGCGGCGUGCUUAACACAUGCAAGUCGAACGGAAAGGCCCUGCUUUUGUGGGGUGCUCGAGUGGCGAACGGGUGAGUAACACGUGAGUAACCUGCCCUUGACUUUGGGAUAACUUCAGGAAACCGGGGCUAAUACCGGAUAGGAGCUCCUGCUGCAUGGUGGGGGUUGGAAAGUUUCGGCGGUUGGGGAUGGACUCGCGGCUUAUCCGCUUGUUGGUGGGGUUGUGGCUUACCAAGGCUUUGACGGGUAGCCGGCCUGAGAGGGUGGCCGGCCACAUUGGGACUGAGAUACGGCCCAGACUCCUACGGGAGGCAGCGGUGGGGAAUAUUGCACAAUGGGCGGAAGCCUGAUGCAGCAACGCCGCGUGCGGGAUGACGGCCUUCGGGUUGUAAACCGCUUUCGCCUGUGACGAAGCGUGAGUGACGGUAAUGGGUAAAGAAGCACCGGCUAACUACGUG
This 468-nucleotide ribosomal RNA is filed under the name uncultured bacterium. Its description in RNAcentral is "partial 16S ribosomal RNA". It matches the Rfam family "Bacterial small subunit ribosomal RNA", at positions 28 to 507 of the family's 1533-position model. The record is from RNAcentral.